GGACCCGCACAAGCGGUGGAGCAUGUGGUUUAAUUCGAUGCAACGCGAAAAACCUUACCUACACUUGACAUACUUGGAAUCUUUUGUAAUGAAAGAGUGCCUUUUGGAGCCAAGAUACAGGUGCUGCAUGGCUGUCGUCAGCUCGUGUCGUGAGAUGUUGGGUUAAGUCCCAUAACGAGCGCAACCCUUACCCUUAUUUGCCAGCGAUUCGGUCGGGAACUAUAAGGGGACUGCCGGUGAUAAACCGGAGGAAGGUGAGGACGACGUCAAGUCAUCAUGGCCCUUACGUGUAGGGCUACACACGUGCUACAAUGGGGAGUACAGAUAGACGCUAAAGCGCGAGCUGGUGCUAAUCUCAUAAAACUCUUCGUAGUCCGGAUUGCAGUCUGCAACUCGACUGCAUGAAGUCGGAAUC
RNAcentral lists this ribosomal RNA (415 nucleotides) under uncultured bacterium. RNAcentral describes it as "bacterial SSU rRNA". It matches the Rfam family "Bacterial small subunit ribosomal RNA", at positions 917 to 1333 of the family's 1533-position model. The record is from RNAcentral.